CUUCUAACAGUCGCAUAGCAUUUCACAGAAGCUUUUUUACUGAAGGCAAUUUCUCCCACAAUUUUUUUUUUUUUUGGUUGCAGUUUUUUCAUUUUGACGUUCGAGUUUGCUCAAACUCUGUGACUAGAGCAAGGGGUGCUUCGUGCUUGGGAAAAGCCCCUUAUCACUGAAGCCUGCUGCUGCAGAGGAAAAGGGCAGGGCUGGGCACCCUGGGCAGGGUGCAGACUGCCAGCCAGCACAGGGACAAGGUUUUCGUCACAGCAUCGGGCAGACCUCUGAUUCCCUCAGGAAAGCCACUAGUGCUGAGCGCAUGGUGCACUACAGGGAACACUUAAUGACAGAGGGAAGUUAUGGGUUCAAGUUGACCGGGUAAUCUAAUCAAUGCUGCUUACUCCAGACUCUAAUUUACUUGUCUUACAACUCAUUAAAUUUGAAAUAUUAUUGAUUUUCGAGUAGAUGGCUUAGCUGAUACAUAAGUACAUUUUACCUUGGGGACCUCGGUUUGAGUUUCAUCAGUGGAUUUGCAGGUGAGAAAGCUCAGAUCCCUUCAUGGGGCAGUGUUGGUGGGAAAAUCACACCAGACACACACUCCCGAUGCAAAUAAUUGGCCAGAACCCCAGAUUUCCUAAUAGCUCAUGCUGAAUGGGCUAUUUUCAUGUUUCUGAAGAGGGUGUCUAGACAGCAGGGGACAGUGAAUUGUAUGACUUGGAGACGCCCUUCUUAAGAGCAGGCACUUCUCCGAAAUGUAAUUUUGUUGUAUUCUGCAAACCAAGAGAUGCUACGAACCUUCUUUUUCUCCAGUACUAAAAAUCAUCCUGCUGGGUUUUCAGCAACCGAUUCUGUUUUUGACCCUCAACAGCCUGGACCAGAUUUGAUUCCUACAGAGUACCAGCAGUCCUCUAAUGAAGUCUCUGCCUCAGCCUCUCACAUGCUGGAAUCUGACCGGCCAACAGCUCCUGCACCAGACUUCCUGGGCUUGAUUGCUGAAGAAACUAAAGCUAUAAAUUAUGUCUAAUGUUCUAUUAUUUCUAUUUUUGUUGGGCCACGGUAAAGUUGGUAAGUGAAACCAAUUUCCUUAGAAAACAAAAUGAAUCAAUACAUGCUAAAACAUGGAUGGAUGUCAGAAACAUGUUAAACAAAGGAAGCCAGAUAUAAAAGCCCGUAUAUUUAUAUGAUUCCAUUGAUGUGAAAUGUCCCAAAAAGGUAAUCAAUAAGGAGAGAAAGUAGAUUAGUGGUGGCCUAGGGCUGGGGAUAGGAACAAGGAAUGCCUGUUGAUAGAUAGGAGAGAUAUUUUCUUGAGGUGAUGGAAAUGUCCUAAUACCAGAUUCUGGUGAUGGUUGCACAAUCCUGCAAAUUUACUAAGAAUCAUUGAAUUGCAUACUUAAAACAGGUGAGAUUUAUGGUAAGUAAAGUACACCUCAGUGUACGUCUAUUCAGAAAGAAGAGAUCCAUGCCAAAGGAAGCCAUAGGCUAUCAUUUGUCAUUGUACAGUUAGCUCUUCUUUUUUUUUGCUUUCUCGCCUGAAGGGAAGUGGAUAGCUAGUAUCAGGAGACAACCCCUUCCUGUUGGUCUAUGUAGACACUACGCAAAAUACCAUCCAUCAGCUACUUUAGAGCUGAAGGGAUCGAUAAUCCUAGGUCUUGUCACGACACUGGUCAGAGAUAUGCCCACUUGGUGCUGGGUAACGUUCCCAUGCCUGUAUCACUGCCUCAUCACGGGGCUCUUAAUCUUCCCAACUCGUGGUCUGCUAUCCAUGGAAAAUGGUCUCUCUAGGAUGUUGGGAUCACCACUUAUUUGGUGUGCAUUUUAUUUUGUUUUUAAAAUUUUAAACAUUUAUUGAUUGAUUGACUGAGAGAGAGACAGAGAGACAGAGCAUGAGCGGGGGAGGGUCACAGAGAGAGGGAGAGAAUCCCAAGCAGGCUCUGUGCUUCCAGUGUAGGGUCUGACAUGGGGCUCAGUCUCACAAACUGCAGGAUCGUGACCUGAGCUGAAAUUGAGUGGGACGCUCAACCAACUGAGCCACCUAGGCGCCCCAGUACAGCGUGCGAUUUUAACCUUAUUCUUCACCACAUUAUGGUAAAGUGGUUCCUUAGAUGUCUGUAUCCCCCUCAGGACAGAAGCUCUUCCAGGAUGGGACACCGUGUGGUGUUCAUCUCUGCGCCCCUGAGGCUUGACGUAUAGUGGCACAUAAUGGCUGCUUAAUACCUUUGUACUGCUCUCAGAUGACUUGGUUUGCCCCAGAGUUGCUACCUGGUGGGAGGGGAUGGUAAAGCUGACUUACGUUUGGAGCCUUCGGGGAUGGCACAAAGUCAAGUUGACCAACUUCUGCAGUAUCAGCCUUCUUUCCCACAGCAACGCUGCUUAAAAAAGCACGCCAGCUCAGUGGUUGGAAAGAAGAGUCAGGUAUUCUUGUUCGUGUGUCUGUGUGUUGGCUGAGGGUUGGCUGAUCUAAGCUUUGUUCAUAUGAACUUGGCUCGAAACUGUGGGUAAGGCCGAGCUAUUGCCCACAUUUUUCGCAUCCUCCUUGGACCAGUGAGGCUACCUGAUACGUGUUCUUUCCGUGGCUGGAUAGUAAGAGUAUGAGUGGAAGCAUGUGAUGAUGCGUUUAAGAUCUGUGCUCGGGGCGCCUGGGUGGCGCAGUCGGUUAAGCGUCCGACUUCAGCUGGGUCGCGAUCUCGCGGUCCGUGGGUUCGAGCCCCGCGUCGGGCUCUGGGCUGAUGGCUGGGAGCCUGGAGCCUGUUUCCGAUUCUGUGUCUCCCUCUCUGUCUGCCCCUCGCCCGUUCAUGCUCUGUCUCUCUCUGUCCCAAAAAUAAAUAAACGUUGAAAAAAAAAAAAAAGGUCUGU
This 2844-nucleotide long non-coding RNA is filed under the name Felis catus (domestic cat). RNAcentral's name for it is "lncRNA (ENSFCAG00000051255.1)". Lineage: Eukaryota; Metazoa; Chordata; Mammalia; Carnivora; Felidae. The record is from RNAcentral.